RNAcentral lists this transfer RNA (73 nucleotides) under Candidatus Omnitrophica bacterium ADurb.Bin205. Its description in RNAcentral is "tRNA-Thr". It matches the Rfam family "tRNA". Rfam says of the family: Transfer RNA (tRNA) molecules are approximately 80 nucleotides in length. Their secondary structure includes four short double-helical elements and three loops (D, anti-codon, and T loops). RNAcentral also lists the same sequence under 3 other names. The record is from RNAcentral. Lineage: Bacteria; Pseudomonadati; Candidatus Omnitrophota.
GCUGGAGUAGCUCAGUUGGCAGAGCACGUCCUUGGUAAGGACGGGGUCACGAGUUCAAUUCUCGUCUCCAGCU